Molecule: ribosomal RNA, 434 nt
Filed under: uncultured bacterium
Lineage: Bacteria
Description: partial 16S ribosomal RNA
Rfam family: Bacterial small subunit ribosomal RNA
Source: RNAcentral
GAACGAAGGCUGGCGGCAUGCCUAACACAUGCAAGUCGAACGAGACCUUCGGGUCUAGUGGCGCACGGGUGCGUAACGCGUGGGAACCUGCCCUUAGGUUCGGAAUAACUCCCCGAAAGGGGUGCUAAUACCGGAUAAUGUCUUCGGACCAAAGAUUUAUCGCCUUUGGAUGGGCCCGCGUUGGAUUAGCUAGUUGGUAGGGUAAAAGCCUACCAAGGCGACGAUCCAUAGCUGGUCUGAGAGGAUGAUCAGCCACACUGGGACUGAGACACGGCCCAGACUCCUACGGGAGGCAGCAGUGGGGAAUAUUGGACAAUGGGCGAAAGCCUGAUCCAGCAAUGCCGCGUGAGUGAUGAAGGCCUUAGGGUUGUAAAGCUCUUUUACCCGGGAUGAUAAUGACAGUACCGGGAGAAUAAGCUCCGGCUAACUCCGUG